AACGCACCUUGCACUCCUUGGUAUUCCGAGGAGUAUACCUGUUUGAGUGUCAUUAACUUCUCAAACUUGUUUCCUUGUUAAUCUUGGAGACAGUUUGGAUAUGAGAGUUGCUGGUUUUCUUAAAUCAGCUCUCUUUAAAUGCAUUAGUAGUUUUGGCUUUGUUCCACAUUCUCAAUUGAUGAUAGUUAUCUACAUCAUUAGAGUUUGAAUCUGCUUAUAACUGUCUUUAUUGACAAACCUUUUGACAAUUUGACCUCAAAUCAGGUAGGACUACCCGCUGAACUUAA
RNAcentral lists this unclassified non-coding RNA (287 nucleotides) under uncultured fungus. Its description in RNAcentral is "sequence contains ITS2". The record is from RNAcentral. Lineage: Eukaryota; Fungi.